UACGUAGGUGGCGAGCGUUGUCCGGAUUUAUUGGGCGUACAGGGCGCGCAGGCGGUCCGUUUUAGUCCGAGGUGAAAUCUCCUGGCUCAACUGGGAGGGGUCUUCGGAUACUGGCGGGCUUGAGGUGAGCAGAGGUGAGCGGAAUUCUGGGUGUAGUGGUGAAAUGCGUAGAUAUCCAGAGGAACACCAGUGGCGAAGGCGGCUCACUGGGCUCCACCUGACGCUGAGGCGCGAAAGCGUGGGGAGCGAACCGG
Molecule: ribosomal RNA, 254 nt
Filed under: uncultured bacterium
Lineage: Bacteria
Description: partial 16S ribosomal RNA
Rfam family: Bacterial small subunit ribosomal RNA
Source: RNAcentral